RNAcentral lists this ribosomal RNA (254 nucleotides) under uncultured bacterium. RNAcentral's name for it is "partial 16S ribosomal RNA". It matches the Rfam family "Bacterial small subunit ribosomal RNA", at positions 524 to 777 of the family's 1533-position model. The record is from RNAcentral.
UACGGGGGGGCAAGCGUUGUUCGGAAUUACUGGGCGUAAAGGGCUCGUAGGUGGCCAACUAAGUCAGACGUGAAAUCCCUCGGCUUAACCGGGGAACUGCGUCUGAUACUGGAUGGCUAGAGAUUGGGAGAGGGAUGCGGAAUUCCAGGUGUAGCGGUGAAAUGACGUAGAUAUCUGGAGGAACACCGGUGGCGAAGGCGGCAUCCUGGGCCAACACUGACGCUGAGGAGCGAAAGCCAGGGGAGCAAACGGGG